Molecule: ribosomal RNA, 107 nt
Filed under: Elizabethkingia anophelis
Lineage: Bacteria; Pseudomonadati; Bacteroidota; Flavobacteriia; Flavobacteriales; Weeksellaceae
Also listed under: 1 other name
Source: RNAcentral
UAGGGUGGUUAUAGCGGUGGGGCUCACCUGUUCCCAUUCCGAACACAGAAGUUAAGCCCACCAGCGCCGAUGGUACUGCUAACGCGGGAGAGUAGGUCGCCGCCAGU